GUGUGACUGCGUACCUUUUGUAUAAUGGGUCAGCGACUUAUAUUCUGUAGCAAGGUUAACCGAAUAGGGGAGCCGAAGGGAAACCGAGUCUUAACUGGGCGUUAAGUUGCAGGGUAUAGACCCGAAACCCGGUGAUCUAGCCAUGGGCAGGUUGAAGGUUGGGUAACACUAACUGGAGGACCGAACCGACUAAUGUUGAAAAAUUAGCGGAUGACUUGUGGCUGGGGGUGAAAGGCCAAUCAAACCGGGAGAUAGCUGGUUCUCCCCGAAAGCUAUUUAGGUAGCGCCUCGUGAAUUCAUCUCCGGGGGUAGAGCACUGUUUCGGCAAGGGGGUCAUCCCGACUUACCAACCCGAUGCAAACUGCGAAUACCGGAGAAUGUUAUCACGGGAGACACACGGCGGGUGCUAACGUCCGUCGUGAAGAGGGAAACAACCCAGACCGCCAGCUAAGGUCCCAAAGUCAUGGUUAAGUGGGAAACGAUGUGGGAAGGCCCAGACAGCCAGGAUGUUGGCUUAGAAGCAGCCAUCAUUUAAAGAAAGCGUAAUAGCUCACUGGUCGAGUCGGCCUGCGCGGAAGAUGUAACGGGGCUAAACCAUGCACCGAAGCUGCGGCAGCGACGCUGAUGCGUUGUUGGGUAGGGGAGCGUUCUGUAAGCCUGUGAAGGUGUGCUGUGAGGCAUGCUGGAGGUAUCAGAAGUGCGAAUGCUGACAUAAGUAACGAUAAAGCGGGUGAAAAGCCCGCUCGCCGGAAGACCAAGGGUUCCUGUCCAACGUUAAUCGGGGCAGGGUGAGUCGACCCCUAAGGCGAGGCCGAAAGGCGUAGUCGAUGGGAAACAGGUUAAUAUUCCUGUACUUGGUGUUACUGCGAAGGGGGGACGGAGAAGGCUAUGUUGGCCGGGCGACGGUUGUCCCGGUUUAAGCGUGUAGGCUGGUUUUCCAGGCAAAUCCGGAAAAUCAAGGCUGAGGCGUGAUGACGAGGCACUACGGUGCUGAAGCAACAAAUGCCCUGCUUCCAGGAAAAGCCUCUAAGCAUCAGGUAACAUCAAAUCGUACCCCAAACCGACACAGGUGGUCAGGUAGAGAAUACCAAGGCGCUUGAGAGAACUCGGGUGAAGGAACUAGGCAAAAUGGUGCCGUAACUUCGGGAGAAGGCACGCUGAUAUGUAGGUGAAGUCCCUCGCGGAUGGAGCUGAAAUCAGUCGAAGAUACCAGCUGGCUGCAACUGUUUAUUAAAAACACAGCACUGUGCAAACACGAAAGUGGACGUAUACGGUGUGACGCCUGCCCGGUGCCGGAAGGUUAAUUGAUGGGGUUAGCGCAAGCGAAGCUCUUGAUCGAAGCCCCGGUAAACGGCGGCCGUAACUAUAACGGUCCUAAGGUAGCGAAAUUCCUUGUCGGGUAAGUUCCGACCUGCACGAAUGGCGUAAUGAUGGCCAGGCUGUCUCCACCCGAGACUCAGUGAAAUUGAACUCGCUGUGAAGAUGCAGUGUACCCGCGGCAAGACGGAAAGACCCCGUGAACCUUUACUAUAGCUUGACACUGAACAUUGAGCCUUGAUGUGUAGGAUAGGUGGGAGGCUUUGAAGUGUGGACGCCAGUCUGCAUGGAGCCGACCUUGAAAUACCACCCUUUAAUGUUUGAUGUUCUAACGUUGACCCGUAAUCCGGGUUGCGGACAGUGUCUGGUGGGUAGUUUGACUGGGGCGGUCUCCUCCUAAAGAGUAACGGAGGAGCACGAAGGUUGGCUAAUCCUGGUCGGACAUCAGGAGGUUAGUGCAAUGGCAUAAGCCAGCUUGACUGCGAGCGUGACGGCGCGAGCAGGUGCGAAAGCAGGUCAUAGUGAUCCGGUGGUUCUGAAUGGAAGGGCCAUCGCUCAACGGAUAAAAGGUACUCCGGGGAUAACAGGCUGAUACCGCCCAAGAGUUCAUAUCGACGGCGGUGUUUGGCACCUCGAUGUCGGCUCAUCACAUCCUGGGGCUGAAGUAGGUCCCAAGGGUAUGGCUGUUCGCCAUUUAAAGUGGUACGCGAGCUGGGUUUAGAACGUCGUGAGACAGUUCGGUCCCUAUCUGCCGUGGGCGCUGGAGAACUGAGGGGGGCUGCUCCUAGUACGAGAGGACCGGAGUGGACGCAUCACUGGUGUUCGGGUUGUCAUGCCAAUGGCACUGCCCGGUAGCUAAAUGCGGAAGAGAUAAGUGCUGAAAGCAUCUAAGCACGAAACUUGCCCCGAGAUGAGUUCUCCCUGACUCCUUGAGAGUCCUGAAGGAACGUUGAAGACGACGACGUUGAUAGGCCGGGUGUGUAAGCGCAGCGAUGCGUUGAGCUAACCGGUACUAAUGAACCGUGAGGCUUAACCUU
Molecule: ribosomal RNA, 2354 nt
Filed under: Escherichia coli
Lineage: Bacteria; Pseudomonadati; Pseudomonadota; Gammaproteobacteria; Enterobacterales; Enterobacteriaceae
Description: bacterial LSU rRNA
Rfam family: Bacterial large subunit ribosomal RNA
Source: RNAcentral